AGGACGAACGCUGGCGGCGUGCUUAACACAUGCAAGUCGAGCGGAAAGGCCCUUCGGGGUACUCGAGCGGCGAACGGGUGAGUAACACGUGGGCAACCUGCCCCUAGCUCUGGGAUAACUCCGGGAAACCGGUGCUAAUACCGGAUACGACCUCAUUAGGCAUCCUUUGAGGUGGAAAGAUUUAUUGGCUAGGGAUGGGCCCGCGGCCUAUCAGCUUGUUGGUGGGGUAAUGGCCUACCAAGGCGACGACGGGUAGCCGGCCUGAGAGGGCGACCGGCCACACUGGGACUGAGACACGGCCCAGACUCCUACGGGAGGCAGCAGUGGGGAAUAUUGCGCAAUGGGCGAAAGCCUGACGCAGCGACGCCGCGUGAGGGAUGACGGCCUUCGGGUUGUAAACCUCUUUCAGCUCUGACGAAGCGAGAGUGACGGUAGGAGCAGAAGAAGCACCGGCCAACUACGUGCCAGCAGCCGC
This 475-nucleotide ribosomal RNA is filed under the name uncultured bacterium. Its description in RNAcentral is "SSU rRNA". It matches the Rfam family "Bacterial small subunit ribosomal RNA", at positions 26 to 518 of the family's 1533-position model. The record is from RNAcentral.